Molecule: ribosomal RNA, 428 nt
Filed under: Chloroflexota bacterium
Lineage: Bacteria; Bacillati; Chloroflexota
Description: Chloroflexi bacterium partial 16S ribosomal RNA
Rfam family: Bacterial small subunit ribosomal RNA
Source: RNAcentral
UGGGGAAUAUUGCACAAUGGGCGCAAGCCUGAUGCAGCCAUGCCGCGUGUAUGAAGAAGGCCUUCGGGUUGUAAAGUACUUUCAGCGGGGAGGAAGGGAGUAAAGUUAAUACCUUUGCUCAUUGACGUUACCCGCAGAAGAAUCACCGGCUAACUCCGUGCCAGCAGCCGCGGUAAUACGGAGGGUGCAAGCGUUCAUCGGAAUUACUGGGCGUAAAGCGCUCGCAGGCUGUUUGUUAAGUCAGAUGUGAAAUCCCCGGGUUCAACCUGGGAACUGCAUCUGAUACUGGAAAGGUUGAAUGGCGUAGAGGGGGGUAGAAUUCCAGGUGUAACGGUGAAAUGCGUAGAGAUCUGGAGGAAUACCGGUGGCGAAGGCGGCCCCUGGACGAAGACUGACGCUCAGGUGCGAAAGCGUGGGGAGCAAACAGG